UACGUAGGGGGCAAGCGUUGUCCGGAAUCAUUGGGCGUAAAGCGCGUGUAGGCGGUCCGGUAAGUCCGCUGUGAAAGUCGGGGGCUCAACCCUCGAAUGCCGGUGGAUACUGUCGGGCUAGAGUGCGGAAGAGGCGAGUGGAAUUCCUGGUGUAGCGGUGAAAUGCGCAGAUAUCAGGAGGAACACCUAUUGCGAAGGCAGCUCGGUGGGACGUAACUGACGCUGAGACGCGAAAGCGUGGGGAGCAAACAGG
Molecule: ribosomal RNA, 253 nt
Filed under: uncultured bacterium
Lineage: Bacteria
Description: partial 16S ribosomal RNA
Rfam family: Bacterial small subunit ribosomal RNA
Source: RNAcentral